GAGACUCUGUGCGCGUGCAUAUCAAUAAGCGGAGGAAAAGAAACUAACUAGGAUUCCCUCAGUAACGGCGAGUGAAGCGGGAAGAGCUCAAAUUUGAAAUCUUCAAGGUUCUACCUUGACGAAUUGUAGUUUAAAGAAGUGUUUUCUGUUGGAGUUUUGGUAAAAGUUCUUUGGAAUAGGACAUCAUAGAGGGUGAGAAUCCCGUAUUUGACCAUUAUUUCCAACUUUGUGAUACACUUUCAAAGAGUCGGAUUGUUUGGGAAUGCAGUCCAAAAUGGGUGGUAAAUUUCAUCUAAAGCUAAAUACUGGCGAGAGACCGAUAGCGAACAAGUACCGUGAGGGAAAGAUGAAAAGAACUUUGAAAAGAGAGUUAAACAGUACGUGAAAUUGUCAAAAGGGAAGCGUUUGACACCAGUGUUGUUUUUCCGAAAAUCAAUUAUAAAUGUUUUGUUUCUGAGGAGUGAUGACUUCAUCGGCUUCCUUCUCUCUUCACGAAACUUUUGUAAUGCACUUUUCGGUUAACAAGUCAACAUCAAUUUCUUUUGUUGUAAAAAGGUCAUUGGAAGGUGGCUUUCUUUUCGGAGAAAGUGUUUAUAGCCUUUGAUCUCUGCAACCGGAGAGAUUGAGGUACUGCAGCGUAGACUCUUCGGGGUUAGAUACACUUUGUGCUAAGUUAUAGCCUUGUAUAGACAACUUGUUGACUAUGACUCAGUCAUGUAGCUUACUCGCUAGAUAGUAUUUUACCUACGCUUAGAAUGUUGAGUCGUAGAGCACGCAG
RNAcentral lists this ribosomal RNA (778 nucleotides) under uncultured Neocallimastigales. Its description in RNAcentral is "partial large subunit ribosomal RNA". It matches the Rfam family "Eukaryotic large subunit ribosomal RNA", at positions 23 to 634 of the family's 3401-position model. The record is from RNAcentral. Lineage: Eukaryota; Fungi; Neocallimastigomycota; Neocallimastigomycetes; Neocallimastigales.